Molecule: ribosomal RNA, 462 nt
Filed under: uncultured bacterium
Lineage: Bacteria
Description: bacterial SSU rRNA
Rfam family: Bacterial small subunit ribosomal RNA
Source: RNAcentral
GACGAACGCUGGCGGCGUGCUUAACACAUGCAAGUCGAGCGAUGAAGCUCCUUCGGGAGUGGAUUAGCGGCGGACGGGUGAGUAACACGUGGGUAACCUGCCUCAUAGAGGGGAAUAGCCUUCCGAAAGGAAGAUUAAUACCGCAUAAGAUUGUAGUUUCGCAUGAAACAGCAAUUAAAGGAGCAAUCCGCUAUGAGAUGGACCCGCGUCGCAUUAGCCAGUUGGUGAGGUAACGGCUCACCAAGGCGACGAUGCGUAGCCGACCUGAGAGGGUGAUCGGCCACAUUGGGACUGAGACACGGCCCAGACUCCUACGGGAGGCAGCAGUGGGGAAUAUUGCACAAUGGGGGAAACCCUGAUGCAGCAACGCCGCGUGAGUGAUGAAGGUCUUCGGAUUGUAAAGCUCUGUCUUUGGGGACGAUAAUGACGGUACCCAAGGAGGAAGCCACGGCUAACUACGUG